GGGGGACCUUCGGGCCUCUUGCCAUCGGAUGUGCCCAGAUGGGAUUAGCUUGUAGGUGGGGUAACGGCUCACCUAGGCGACGAUCCCUAGCUGGUCUGAGAGGAUGACCAGCCACACUGGAACUGAGACACGGUCCAGACUCCUACGGGAGGCAGCAGUGGGGAAUAUUGCACAAUGGGCGCAAGCCUGAUGCAGCCAUGCCGCGUGUAUGAAGAAGGCCUUCGGGUUGUAAAGUACUUUCAGCGGGGAGGAAGGGAGUAAAGUUAAUACCUUUGCUCAUUGACGUUACCCGCAGAAGAAGCACCGGCUAACUCCGUGCCAGCAGCCGCGGUAAUACGGAGGGUGCAAGCGUUAAUCGGAAUUACUGGGCGUAAAGCGCACGCAGGCGGUUUGUUAA
RNAcentral lists this ribosomal RNA (397 nucleotides) under Escherichia coli. RNAcentral describes it as "bacterial SSU rRNA". It matches the Rfam family "Bacterial small subunit ribosomal RNA", at positions 194 to 586 of the family's 1533-position model. The record is from RNAcentral. Lineage: Bacteria; Pseudomonadati; Pseudomonadota; Gammaproteobacteria; Enterobacterales; Enterobacteriaceae.